Molecule: long non-coding RNA, 790 nt
Organism: Cynoglossus semilaevis (tongue sole)
Lineage: Eukaryota; Metazoa; Chordata; Actinopteri; Pleuronectiformes; Cynoglossidae
Exons: 4
Source: RefSeq, a predicted model, not a curated record
UUGAUGUUACUUUUUGUUAGCCUCUUUUAUUAGCUAUUUUUGAGCUGACCAUGUAUCUAUACCUACAAUGAAUUUUAUCCUGGUUUAUUUGUAAUGUUCAGCUAUUUGGGGGCAUUUAACUCAAUUUAGCUGAGUCCAAAUUCAUUUUGAUAUAAAAAAAAUACAUUAUCUAUUCGGGUUUUUAUCCGUCCCUUAAAAUCGUCUUUUCUUUAACGAAUAAACGUUAAUAAGGGACGUGAUUUGUUCCGUAUUUCCUUGUAAAUGUCAAAUACACACGGCUGUCACUCACUAACGCUCCUCUGCGUGUCUGCGCAUGCGUGUAGUGCUGUCAUGGUUGCCUAGAGACAGACACCACAUACGGGCGCGCCUUUUAAAAAUGUCCACUACACCCGAAAACGCCCCGACUAAAAUACAGACGAAAAAAAACAAAACAAAACAAAAUUGACAGUUGUCUACUGUUUUGAACAUUAAACAUAUUAUGCUGAGGUUCCGCCUGACUAAAAAAACGAGUCGUCAUCGUCAUCUUCCUCCUUCCUCCACGGUCGCGGCGUGUGACGUCAGACGCCGUAAACGUUCACCGCGUGCUUUAAAAGCCGCAGGUGAACGAAGUUAUUAAUGGCGGCUCUACCUGGUCCGUGUGAAAGGCUCAGUUAGAGAGAUACACUGGGAUUUCUGCACAAGGAGACCAGGUCAAAGUUGUCCAGUGUCAAAGUUUACUCCUGAAACUGAAAGACAAGAUUGUUUGUCCCUAAGAUCUUCAACACAGAGUCACAAAAGUGCACAAGAGGCG